GAAUGUGAGGGCAAUCUGGCUGUGACAUCUGUCACCCCACUGAUUGCCAGGGUAGAUAUGGCUGAUGUGGCAGGCUAGUCGGGUGUCCCCUUCCUCCCUUACCACUCCAUGUGCAUCCCUCCCGAAGCUGUGCACUUGGUCAGAGAGAACAGCCAUCCCUGAUAGAGGAGGACCGUUCUUCGUACUGCCCACUGGAACCUCCAAGCAAGCUCUCAAGAAGAUGGCAGGAGAAAGGAAGUCUGGAUUUCCCAGUGGGCUGACUUCUCCAGGAGAUUCUGAGCUCAGCCCUUCAGAUCCAUCUCUAUGG
RNAcentral lists this small nuclear RNA (307 nucleotides) under Castor canadensis (American beaver). RNAcentral describes it as "7SK RNA (ENSCCNG00000018516.1)". It matches the Rfam family "7SK RNA". From Rfam's summary of the family: 7SK was discovered as an abundant small nuclear RNA in the mid-70s but a possible function has only recently been suggested. Two independent studies have found that 7SK RNA binds the CDK9/cyclin T complex (known as elongation factor P-TEFb). Lineage: Eukaryota; Metazoa; Chordata; Mammalia; Rodentia; Castoridae. The record is from Rfam by way of RNAcentral.